RNAcentral lists this ribosomal RNA (1433 nucleotides) under uncultured organism. RNAcentral describes it as "16S ribosomal RNA". It matches the Rfam family "Bacterial small subunit ribosomal RNA". The record is from RNAcentral.
CAGGCUUAACACAUGCAAGUCGAGGGGCAGCAUGGUCUUAGCUUGCUAAGGCCGAUGGCGACCGGCGCACGGGUGAGUAACGCGUAUCCAACCUGCCUUACACUCUUGGACAGCCUUCUGAAAGGGAGAUUAAUACAAGAUGUUAUCAUGAGUAAGCAUUUUCACAUGAUUAAAGGUUUACCGGUGUAAGAUGGGGAUGCGUUCCAUUAGAUAGUAGGCGGGGUAACGGCCCACCUAGUCUUCGAUGGAUAGGGGUUCUGAGAGGAAGGUCCCCCACAUUGGAACUGAGACACGGUCCAAACUCCUACGGGAGGCAGCAGUGAGGAAUAUUGGUCAAUGGACGAGAGUCUGAACCAGCCAAGUAGCGUGAAGGAUGAAGGUUCUAUGGAUUGUAAACUUCUUUUAUACGGGAAUAAACGAAUCCACGUGUGGAUUUUUGCAUGUACCGUAUGAAUAAGGAUCGGCUAACUCCGUGCCAGCAGCCGCGGUAAUACGGAGGAUCCGAGCGUUAUCCGGAUUUAUUGGGUUUAAAGGGAGCGUAGAUGGGUUGUUAAGUCAGUUGUGAAAGUUUGCGGCUCAACCGUAAAAUUGCAAUUGAUACUGGCAGUCUUGAGUACAGUUGAGGUAGGCGGAAUUCGUGGUGUAGCGGUGAAAUGCUUAGAUAUCACGAAGAACUCCGAUUGCGAAGGCAGCUUACUAACCUGUAACUGACAUUGAUGCUCGAAAGUGUGGGUAUCAAACAGGAUUAGAUACCCUGGUAGUCCACACGGUAAACGAUGAAUACUCGCUGUAGGCGAUAUACAGUCUGCGGCCAAGCGAAAGCAUUAAGUAUUCCACCUGGGGAGUACGCCGGCAACGGUGAAACUCAAAGGAAUUGACGGGGGCCCGCACAAGCGGAGGAACAUGUGGUUUAAUUCGAUGAUACGCGAGGAACCUUACCCGGGCUUAAAUUGCAACCGAAUAUGGCGGAAACGCUAUAGCUAGCAAUAGCGGUUGUGAAGGUGCUGCAUGGUUGUCGUCAGCUCGUGCCGUGAGGUGUCGGCUUAAGUGCCAUAACGAGCGCAACCCUUGCCGAUAGUUACUAACAGGUUAUGCUGAGGACUCUGUCGGGACUGCCAUCGUAAGAUGUGAGGAAGGUGGGGAUGACGUCAAAUCAGCACGGCCCUUACGUCCGGGGCUACACACGUGUUACAAUGGGGGGUACAGAGGGCUGCUACCACGCAAGUGGAUGCCAAUCCCAAAAACCUCUCUCAGUUCGGAUUGGAGUCUGCAACCCGACUUCAUGAAGCUGGAUUCGCUAGUAAUCGCGCAUCAGCCACGGCGCGGUGAAUACGUUCCCGGGCCUUGUACACACCGCCCGUCAAGCCAUGGGAGCCGGGGGUACCUGAAGUGCGUAACCGCAAGGAGCGCCCUAGGGUAAAACUGGUGACUGG